This 301-nucleotide ribosomal RNA is filed under the name uncultured bacterium. Its description in RNAcentral is "partial 16S ribosomal RNA". It matches the Rfam family "Bacterial small subunit ribosomal RNA", at positions 509 to 807 of the family's 1533-position model. The record is from RNAcentral.
CAGCCGCCACGGUAAUACAGAGGGUGCAAGCGUUAAUCGGAAUUACUGGGCGUAAAGCGCGCGUAGGUGGUUCGUCAAGUUGGAUGUGAAAUCCCCGGGCUCAACCUGGGAACUGCAUCCAAAACUGGCGAGCUAGAGUAUGGUAGAGGGUGGUGGAAUUUCCUGUGUAGCGGUGAAAUGCGUAGAUAUAGGAAGGAACAUCAGUGGCGAAGGCGACCACCUGGACUGAUACUGACACUGAGGUGCGAAAGCGUGGGGAGCAAACAGGAUUAGAUACCCGUGUAGUCCCUGUCUCUUAUAC